This 505-nucleotide ribosomal RNA is filed under the name uncultured bacterium. RNAcentral describes it as "partial 16S ribosomal RNA". It matches the Rfam family "Bacterial small subunit ribosomal RNA", at positions 28 to 507 of the family's 1533-position model. The record is from RNAcentral.
GACGAACGCUGGCGGCGUGCCUAACACAUGCAAGUAGAACGCACAGUUUAUACCGUAGCUUGCUACACCAUAGACUGUGAGUUGCGAACGGGUGAGUAACGCGUAGGUAACCUGCCUGGUAGCGGGGGAUAACUAUUGGAAACGAUAGCUAAUACCGCAUAAUAUUAAUUAUUGCAUGAUAAUUGAUUGAAAGAUGCAGCUGCAUCACUACCAGAUGGACCUGCGUUGUAUUAGCUAGUAGGUGAGGUAACGGCUCACCUAGGCGACGAUACAUAGCCGACCUGAGAGGGUGAUCGGCCACACUGGGACUGAGACACGGCCCAGACUCCUACGGGAGGCAGCAGUAGGGAAUCUUCGGCAAUGGACGAAAGUCUGACCGAGCAACGCCGCGUGAGUGAAGAAGGUUUUCGGAUCGUAAAGCUCUGUUGUAAGAGAAGAACGGGUGUGAGAGUGGAAAGUUCACACUGUGACGGUAUCUUACCAGAAAGGGACGGCUAACUACGUG